Arvicanthis niloticus (Nile rat) is the source of this 862-nucleotide non-coding RNA. The record is from RefSeq and is a predicted model, not a curated record. NCBI's taxonomy places the organism in Eukaryota, Metazoa, Chordata, Mammalia, Rodentia, Muridae.
CCUCUUCUCUACACCAUCCUUGGCAGAGCAGGGCCCCGCCCGGAUACCUUCCUUCAUCUUGUCCUGAUGGAUCCCAGGCUCCUUAUAUACCAUCGGUGCCUUAGAUACAAAAAUAUUUGCACAACGUGUGUGUAUGUGUGUGACUCGAAGACUUACACAUGCAAGCAUCCUCAGAAGCAAGAAGAGUGUGUCAGAACCCCUGGGACUGGAAUUACAGGCAGGUUGCUGGGGGUCAGACUGGACACCAGUUUGGUGGCCCUCAGGAUGUAAAGUCUGGGCUCUGAGACCAAGCAAAUGGAGAGGAAGCACAUGGCCUGAGACAGCUUGGGUCAGCUGUCACACGGUAGCGGGAGGUCACAGACUCGGUGAUGAAGAACCUGAUCAUCUUGGAACUGGUGAAGAGUCUUGGUUGCCGAAGAAGGGAGCUACUAUAAACUGAGGCAAAUCCUGCUUGUCAAACACUGGGCUGAGCUCUGCAGGCAGGGAUGGAGAUGCCAAAGCCAAAGAAAAGGACAGAGCUGGACGUUGGACUCAGGCCUGCCCCACUCUAAAUCCCCCACUGCCCUCUACGGACUGAUGGUCCACACGAAGCCAGCAUCCACUGCCCAGACCCAGUGCUUGCUCAGAUCCACUGGUGAGUGGGGCAGGGGUGGGAUUCUGUACAGAGGGCUUCGGUUUGGGACAGACAGCAGUGUUGAGCCUUUCAGGCACCCAAGGACUCGGAGCCCAGUGUCCUCAUGUAUAAAAUGGCUGGUGAGGUGUCUCCUCAGGGAAGGGCACUUGCGGACAAGUCGUCUGAUGGCCUGGGUUUGACCCCUGGGUCACAUUCAUGCCCACUCACACAUGUAUACACACAUGCAUG